Ipomoea nil (Japanese morning glory) is the source of this 459-nucleotide long non-coding RNA. RefSeq lists it as uncharacterized. The transcript is spliced from 5 exons. The record is from RefSeq and is a predicted model, not a curated record. NCBI's taxonomy places the organism in Eukaryota, Viridiplantae, Streptophyta, Magnoliopsida, Solanales, Convolvulaceae.
CUAACCCUACACAUAAAAGGACAAAACGCUUCUGCUUCUUCACUCGGCUGAACUUGGGACCGGCUCCACAAAUCUCCUUCUUCUCUCUUCUACUAAAUCUCGAACGUAGGUUUCGAAAUACCAUUUUUCUUCAGCAACUAUCAAUGGAUGAAUGUUCUCUGCUAUCUGUCGCAAGAAUAUUCGAUCAACAACUGCUCUUCCAGACCUUGUACGCUGUCUUACGACCGAGUACGUGGGUUUCAGAUUGGUCCAGUAGAUCCGUCAUAGUUCGAUCUAAUUUUGAAGUUAAAAUUUCAUCACCACUGACUCUCUGAGAAUGAAUUCUCUCAUGCAGACCCGUACGAUGAACUUCGUAGGUUCUGACCAGCCAAACUCGGAGUGCUCUCCUUGUAUGCAGAGGGCAUUUCGAAAACAAUUUGGAGGAUUUUGGCACUACCUUUCGUUUGAGAAAUUGCGUGC